This 103-nucleotide microRNA precursor is filed under the name Marmota monax (woodchuck). The record is from RNAcentral. Lineage: Eukaryota; Metazoa; Chordata; Mammalia; Rodentia; Sciuridae.
AGUGGGAUAGCUGGGUCAAAUGCUGGUUCCAUUCCCAGUUUUUCAAGGAAUCUCCAUACUGCUUACCAGAUUGGCCGCACUAAUUUGCAGUCCCACCAGCAGU